RNAcentral lists this ribosomal RNA (698 nucleotides) under uncultured Pseudomonadota bacterium. Its description in RNAcentral is "bacterial SSU rRNA". It matches the Rfam family "Bacterial small subunit ribosomal RNA", at positions 75 to 766 of the family's 1533-position model. The record is from RNAcentral. Lineage: Bacteria; Pseudomonadati; Pseudomonadota.
GAAGCUUGCUUCUUUGCUGACGAGUGGCGGACGGGUGAGUAAUGUCUGGGAAACUGCCUGAUGGAGGGGGAUAACUACUGGAAACGGUAGCUAAUACCGCAUAACGUCGCAAGACCAAAGAGGGGGACCUUCGGGCCUCUUGCCAUCGGAUGUGCCCAGAUGGGAUUAGCUAGUAGGUGGGGUAACGGCUCACCUAGGCGACGAUCCCUAGCUGGUCUGAGAGGAUGACCAGCCACACUGGAACUGAGACACGGUCCAGACUCCUACGGGAGGCAGCAGUGGGGAAUAUUGCACAAUGGGCGCAAGCCUGAUGCAGCCAUGCCGCGUGUAUGAAGAAGGCCUUAGGGUUGUAAAGUACUUUCAGCGGGGAGGAAGGAAGUAAAGUUAAUACCUUUGCUCAUUGACGUUACCCGCAGAAGAAGCACCGGCUAACUCCGUGCCAGCAGCCGCGGUAAUACGGAGGGUGCAAGCGUUAAUCGGAAUUACUGGGCGUAAAGCGCACGCAGGCGGUUUGUUAAGUCAGAUGUGAAAUCCCCGGGCUCAACCUGGGAACUGCAUCUGAUACUGGCAAGCUUGAGUCUCGUAGAGGGGGGUAGAAUUCCAGGUGUAGCGGUGAAAUGCGUAGAGAUCUGGAGGAAUACCGGUGGCGAAGGCGGCCCCCUGGACGAAGACUGACGCUCAGGUGCGAAAGCGUGGGG